CGUUGCUAGGUUACCACCGCACCGGCUCGUGAAGCUCACCUGCGCGACCACCUGGCUCCAGGUUGGGUUUGUGGGUCAAUGUAGUUUCCUCACGUCGUUGUAAUGUGAGUGUGUCCGGCGGUAGCUCCUCACGUCGGCUCUCCACUCACCUCCACUUCCAGCGGGGAGUGGCACCUGUCCUGACCGGCCGUGGACAGCGUGAGACCCCGGAAACCCGUCCCUACGGCCCCCGCCGACCUGGAGCUACUGCUGCUAACCAGCUAAGUGUUAGCCGCCACUGCUCAGAUGCUCACACGUUCCCACUGGGGGGCUUGGACUGAUUCAUGUGGGAGCUGCUGCAGAGCUUCGCAUUUCUUGUCUUAAUAUGUCCAGGCAGAUGAAAGGGGGGACAGAGCAAACUGAUGGCACAGACCAGUGCUGCAUUUUCAUUCCUUUGAAAUGGGAGUAUAGUGUGAUGCCAGGAUUCACCAGGGGGUCUUACAAAGCCAAGGCAAUAAUGAAGAGGAGAGUUAUGGGGAGGGAGGAGGUGUGUAGUUGCAGAUUGGUGAGAGAGAGGGGGAAAUAAGGAAAACGAAACGAAUGGGGAGGGAGAUGGAGAAGAAAAUGAAAGGCAUCACUCGGAGCCGCAGAUGACUGUAAAUGAAAUAAAGUGCAAUAACAGUCAGUAAUGUGAAAGUCCUUGUAAGUCCUGGCUUUUUAUUUUUUUUAAGUCCUUUAAAAGAAAUUUAAAAUCGUUUGAAGUAACUCUGGAGGAAACAACCUCCCCCAUCUACUUUCAGGUUAAAUAUAUUGAUUAAACGAUUCAGACAAUUCAAAA
Hippoglossus stenolepis (Pacific halibut) is the source of this 817-nucleotide long non-coding RNA. RefSeq lists it as uncharacterized. The record is from RefSeq and is a predicted model, not a curated record. Lineage: Eukaryota; Metazoa; Chordata; Actinopteri; Pleuronectiformes; Pleuronectidae. The transcript is spliced from 2 exons.